This 195-nucleotide ribosomal RNA is filed under the name uncultured bacterium. Its description in RNAcentral is "partial 16S ribosomal RNA". It matches the Rfam family "Bacterial small subunit ribosomal RNA", at positions 1306 to 1500 of the family's 1533-position model. The record is from RNAcentral.
UGCAACUCGCCUACAUGAAGUCGGAAUCGCUAGUAAUCGCGGAUCAGCAUGCCGCGGUGAAUACGUUCCCGGGCCUUGUACACACCGCCCGUCACACCAUGAGAGUUUGUAACACCCAAAGCCGGUGGGGUAACCUUUUGGAGCCAGCCGUCUAAGGUGGGACAGAUGAUUGGGGUGAAGUCGUAACAAGGUAUC